Long non-coding RNA from Andrographis paniculata, 503 nucleotides. RefSeq lists it as uncharacterized. NCBI's taxonomy places the organism in Eukaryota, Viridiplantae, Streptophyta, Magnoliopsida, Lamiales, Acanthaceae. The record is from RefSeq and is a predicted model, not a curated record. The transcript has 3 exons.
AAAAAAAAUCAACCCUAAACCGGCCGCCGUCUCUCCCCUUCCCAAUUCUUCUUCUUCUUCUCCUCCUGCCGCAGCAGCCUUCUUCUCCGCCCCGGCUUUCGUCUUUGCCUCUCCUGUUACAUUUUGUCUUCGUAUUUGUCUUCGCUCGCCGUUUCCGUCACCGUCGCCUUCAUCUUCAUCUUCAGCGCCGUCGCCGUCGUAUCCUAUUUCAGUCUGACAAUAAGUUGGGAUGAAAUGGCUACAAUUACAGAAGGGACCCGAAGAAAAAAUCACGGCCUCAAUUGGUGAAGUUGGACAAGGCAUUUAAAUUGUUGCAGCAGGAGCUUAAGAUGAAGAAGAUAAAAGCGAAAAUGAACAACUUCAAGGAUCCAAAUGAACAACCUGUAGUGGAGCCGAGUAAAUCAUCUCCAAAACGCAAAAGAAUGGGAAGUGAGAUUGAUGAAAUUUUCGCCAAAAAGAAAAGGGAAGGACCUGAAAAGGAGGGUAAAGACACCAAUACAAUA